This 1328-nucleotide ribosomal RNA is filed under the name Nocardiopsis dassonvillei. RNAcentral describes it as "bacterial SSU rRNA". It matches the Rfam family "Bacterial small subunit ribosomal RNA", at positions 23 to 1353 of the family's 1533-position model. Lineage: Bacteria; Bacillati; Actinomycetota; Actinomycetes; Streptosporangiales; Nocardiopsidaceae. The record is from RNAcentral.
CUCAGGACGAACGCUGGCGGCGUGCUUAACACAUGCAAGUCGAGCGGUAAGGCCCUUCGGGGUACACGAGCGGCGAACGGGUGAGUAACACGUGAGCAACCUGCCCCUGACUCUGGGAUAAGCGGUGGAAACGCCGUCUAAUACCGGAUACGACCCGCCACCUCAUGGUGGAGGGUGGAAAGUUUUUCGGUCAGGGAUGGGCUCGCGGCCUAUCAGCUUGUUGGUGGGGUAACGGCCUACCAAGGCGAUUACGGGUAGCCGGCCUGAGAGGGCGACCGGCCACACUGGGACUGAGACACGGCCCAGACUCCUGCGGGAGGCAGCAGUGGGGAAUAUUGCGCAAUGGGCGAAAGCCUGACGCAGCGACGCCGCGUGGGGGAUGACGGCCUUCGGGUUGUAAACCUCUUUUACCACCAACGCAGGCUCGAAGUUCUCUUCGGGUUGACGGUAGGUGGGGAAUAAGGACCGGCUAACUACGUGCCAGCAGCCGCGGUAAUACGUAGGGUCCGAGCGUUGUCCGGAAUUAUUGGGCGUAAAGAGCUCGUAGGCGGCGUGUCGCGUCUGCUGUGAAAGACCGGGGCUUAACUCCGGUUCUGCAGUGGAUACGGGCAUGCUAGAGGUAGGUAGGGGAGACUGGAAUUCCUGGUGUAGCGGUGAAAUGCGCAGAUAUCAGGAGGAACACCGGUGGCGAAGGCGGGUCUCUGGGCCUUACCUGACGCUGAGGAGCGAAAGCAUGGGGAGCGAACAGGAUUAGAUACCCUGGUAGUCCAUGCCGGAAACGUUGGGCGCUAGGUGUGGGGACUUUCCACGGUUUCCGCGCCGUUAGCUAACGCAUUAAGCGCCCCGCCUGGGAAGUACGGCCGCAAGGCUAAAACUCAAAGGAAUUGACGGGGGCCCGCACAAGCGGCGGAGCAUGUUGCUUAAUUCGACGCAACGCGAAGAACCUUACCAAGGUUUGACAUCACCCGUGGACUCGCAGAGAUGUGAGGUCAUUUAGUUGGCGGGUGACAGGUGGUGCAUGGCUGUCGUCAGCUCGUGUCGUGAGAUGUUGGGUUAAGUCCCGCAACGAGCGCAACCCUUGUUCCAUGUUGCCAGCACGUAAUGGUGGGGACUCAUGGGAGACUGCCGGGGUCAACUCGGAGGAAGGUGGGGAUGACGUCAAGUCAUCAUGCCCCUUAUGUCUUGGGCUGCAAACAUGCUACAAUGGCCGGUACAAUGGGCGUGCGAUACCGUAAGGUGGAGCGAAUCCCUAAAAGCCGGUCUCAGUUCGGAUUGGGGUCUGCAACUCGACCCCAUGAAGGUGGAGUCGCUAGUAACGCCAGAUCAGA